Molecule: ribosomal RNA, 2190 nt
Filed under: human gut metagenome
Description: bacterial LSU rRNA
Rfam family: Bacterial large subunit ribosomal RNA
Source: RNAcentral
UGCCUAGGCUCUCGGAGGCGAAGAAGGACGCGAUAAGCCGCGAUAGUCCACGGCGAGGUGCAAGUAACCCUUGACCCGUGGGUUUCCGAAUGGGGCAACCCGGCCGUCUAGAUGACGGUCAUGCAUUAUCAUGCAGGCGAACGCGGGGAACUGAAACAUCUCAUUACCCGCAGGAGAAGAAAACAAAAUGUGAUUCCCCCAGUAGUGGCGAGCGAACGGGGAAGAGCCCAAACCGCUGCCGUUUCGGCGACAGCGGGGUCAUGGGACCGCGAGAUUCGACGGAAGACGAAGUGCAAUUACCUGGAAAGGUAAGCCGUGGAGGGUGACAGCCCCGUGCACGACACCUCUUUCUUAGAUAGCGGUAUCCCGAGUAGGGCGGGACACGAGAAAUCCUGCCUGAAUUCGCCAGGACCUCCUGGCAAGGCUAAAUACUCCCGAGAGACCGAUAGUGAACCAGUACCGCGAGGGAAAGGUGAAAAGUACCCCGAGCAGGGGGGUGAAAUAGACCCUGAACCCGCGCGCCUACAAGCGGUCGGAGCCGAGUAAUUCGGUGACGGCGUGCCUUUUGCAUAAUGAGCCUACGAGUUAGUCGUCACCAGCGAGGUUAAGGGCUUCAGGCCCGUUAGCCGAAGUGAAAGCGAGCCUUAACAGGGCGUAAAGUUGGUGGCGCUAGACGCGAAACCUUGUGAUCUACCCACGAGCAGGUUGAAGUCGCGGUAACACGUGAUGGAGGACCGAACCGGUAAACGUUGAAAAGUUUUCGGAUGACUCGCGGGUAGGGGUGAAAGGCCAAUCAAACUGGGAAAUAGCUCGUACUCUCCGAAAUGCAUUUCGGUGCAGCCUGUGAUGUUCUGUUCCAGAGGUAGAGCUACUGGUUGGACGCGAGGGCUUCACCGCCUAUCAAAUCCGGAUAAACUCCGAAUGCUGGAACACGAAAUCAUGGAGUGAGCCCGCGGGUGCUAAGGUCCGCGGACGAGAGGGAAAGAACCCGGACCACCGGCUAAGGUCCCGGAUGGACAGUUAAGUUGAUCAAACGAGGUGGGAUCGCGGAGACAGCUAGGAUGUUGGCUUGGAAGCAGCCAUUCAUUUAAAGAGUGCGUAACAGCUCACUAGUCGAGCGAUCCCGCGUGGAUAAUACACGGGCAUAAAACUGUCAACCGAAGCCGUGGGGUUAGCUUUAUUGCUAACCGGUAGGAGAGCAUUCCUGCCAGCUUUGAAGGUCACCCGCGAGAGUGACUGGAGCGGCAUGAAAAGCAAAUGUAGGCAUAAGUAACGAUAAUGGGGGCGAGAACCCCCCACGCCGCAAGACCAAGGCUUCCCCGGCAAUGUCAAUCAGCCGGGGGUCAGCCGGCCUCUAAGGCUAACCCGAAGGGGGACGCCGACGAGAAACGGGUUAACAUUCCCGUGCUUCUCGUCACCGUGACGCGGUGACGGGGUGAUGAAUGGACCGCGCGCUGACGGAAUAGCGCGUUGAAGGCCGUACCCUGUGACGGUGGUAGUCAAGCACGCCACCGGAGGCGAAAGUCGAUAGUACCUCGAGGCCUCGGCCGAGGGGAUAGCGUCCAGGCAAUUUACCCCCUAGAAAACCCGCUAAACUUCAAGUGACGAGGAACCGUACCGUAAACGGACACACGUGGUCGGGUAGAACAUACCAAGGCGCUCGAGUGAUUCAUGGUCAAGGAACUAGGCAAAAUAGUCCUGUAACUUAGGGAUAAAGGACGCUCUAGUGAUAGAGCCGCAGAGAAAUGGCCCAGGCGACUGUUUACCAAAAACACAUGGCUAUGCCAAAUCGAAAGAUGACGUAUAUGGCCUGACACCUGCCCGGUGCCGGAAGGUUAAGAGGAGAGCUCAUCAGUAAUGAGAAGGUUUGAAUUGAAGCCCCGGUAAACGGCGGCCGUAACUAUAACGGUCCUAAGGUAGCGAAAUUCCUUGUCGGGUAAGUUCCGACCUGCACGAAUGGUGUAACGAUCUGGGCACUGUCUCGACCAUGAGCUCGGUGAAAUUGUAGUUCCGGUGAAGAUGCCGGGUACCCGCGACGGGACGGAAAGACCCCGUGAACCUUUACUGCAGCUUCGCGUUGUUCCCGGGCACGGGACGUGUAGGAUAGGUCGGAGGCUUUGAAGCGGAUUCGCCAGGAUUCGUGGAGCCAUCGUUGAAAUACGACCCUUCUCUUGUCUGGGAUCUAACCCU